GACGAACGCUGGCGGCGUGCUUAACACAUGCAAGUCGAACGGAAAGGCCCUGCUUUUGUGGGGUGCUCGAGUGGCGAACGGGUGAGUAACACGUGAGUAACCUGCCCUUGACUUUGGGAUAACUUCGGGAAACUGGGGCUAAUACCGGAUAGGAGCUCCUGCUGCAUGGUGGGGGUUGGAAAGUUUCGGCGGUUGGGGAUGGACUCGCGGCUUAUCAGCUUGUUGGUGUGGUAGUGGCUUACCAAGGCUUUGACGGGUAGCCGGCCUGAGAGGGUGACCGGCCACAUUGGGACUGAGAUACGGCCCAGACUCCUACGGGAGGCAGCAGUGGGGAAUAUUGCACAAUGGGCGGAAGCCUGAUGCAGCAACGCCGCGUGCGGGAUGACGGCCUUCGGGUUGUAAACCGCUUUCGCCUGUGACGAAGCGUGAGUGACGGUAAUGGGUAAAGAAGCACCGGCUAACUACGUG
This 468-nucleotide ribosomal RNA is filed under the name uncultured bacterium. RNAcentral describes it as "partial 16S ribosomal RNA". It matches the Rfam family "Bacterial small subunit ribosomal RNA", at positions 28 to 507 of the family's 1533-position model. The record is from RNAcentral.